Long non-coding RNA from Pelmatolapia mariae (spotted tilapia), 852 nucleotides. RefSeq lists it as uncharacterized. The record is from RefSeq and is a predicted model, not a curated record. The transcript has 4 exons. Lineage: Eukaryota; Metazoa; Chordata; Actinopteri; Cichliformes; Cichlidae.
UGACCCAAGCCAGAGCAAUCAGCACUAGAUCGAGUCGAGCGGCUCUCAGCCAAUUAAAUUACGCUGUUUGAUCACAUGACAUGUUAGCCGGCAGUGUCUUCUGAAAAGAGAGCUGUUUAGAGGUGAGUGAUUAAGUUUUUCUCCUAAAUAGAGAUCAUUACAGAACGCCUAGUCCUACUUAAAAUACCAUUCAUUUUUCUUUUAUUUUAUCAUCUACUCGAACUGAGGAAAACGUUUGACUAACUCAAAGAAAAUUUCCGCGCCUCCCCUGCCUGUCUGCAGAGGCAGUUUUGAAUUCAGGAGCGGCAUGAUGGCAGCGGCAAACCCUGGCGGUUCUCCGGGUUCGUGGCAACCACGGAUGGGAAAAUGUGGAGGUUGCACGGCUGAUGUUUACUGUUCGUGGCACAGGAAGAGGCAGUUUCAUUUCAGGAAUGAGUGUGCACAAUCAAAGAAUAGAGCGACUGUGGGGAGACCUCUGGGUGGCCGUUACAUGCAUUUACUACGAUGUUCUUCACAACCCUGAGGAAGAAGGCCUUCUUGACAUUUCAAAUGCUGCACACCUCUUUUGCUGCCAUUACAUCUUUCUUCCUCGACUAGAGGAUAAUUUUAAUACAUUUUGCAGUGGAUGGGACAACCAUCCACUGCGAACAGAAAACAACAUGAGUCCCCCAACCAGCUGUGGGAGUUGGGUCACAGAUAUUACCCUGUUCCUGUUCCAGAAAACACACAGCUUAUCACACAUUUGAUUUCCAUGUGUGACGACUGCAAGUGUCCAGAGUGAGGACAGACUGAGGGACCCACUGCUGCACAUCAUCUGUGAGGCUUUGCACCCCUGAUGAUCCACCAGGACAA